RNA transcript from Salvia splendens (bonfire salvia), 6657 nucleotides. RefSeq lists it as uncharacterized. NCBI's taxonomy places the organism in Eukaryota, Viridiplantae, Streptophyta, Magnoliopsida, Lamiales, Lamiaceae. The record is from RefSeq and is a predicted model, not a curated record. The transcript has 10 exons.
CAAACUCUGAAACCCUAGUUAAUUCAAAUUCAAAGUCUGAAACUUGCGCCUCCUUCCCCCAACGCCUCUUUCUCUCAAAUCUCCCUUCUCUCUCGCCUCUGCCGGAAACGGCUGCCACUGCCGGCCCGCCGGCCAUCUCUCCCUGCUUCCCUUCUCUCCUUUCCUCUCUUCUCACUCUCCCUCUCGGUCUCCCUCUCCGCCAGCACCGCCGCCGGCUGGAAACUGCCGCUGCUGUCGUCGGGCUGCCGCCGUCGCUGCGCCGGCCGCCGUCGCCGUCGUCGUUCGUGAGAAAUUAAGAGGGGUUGAAAAGGAGCCAAGAAGUGUCGUGUUUGCCGUAUUUCGCCACCACCGCCGGCUGCCGUCGCCGCCGCCGACCCGGCGCUGCUGCUGUUGCUGACAGAGGACAGAAACUCCAGCCAGGGACAUGGUUUGGGAGAAAAAGUGGGCAUUCGAGACUAAAGAGUGGCUAUCCGAAAAGUGCCAUAAUGCCUAUUGCAAAGUGUUGGAUACAGAGGGUUAUAUAUAUAUAUAUAUAUAUAUAUAUAUAUAUAUAUUCACAUGUAUAGCUAGUGUAUUACUCAUGCCGCAAGGCAAGCAAUUUUCCCAACUUCUUGCACCUACUUGUUCGAGCAAUUUUCCUUUCUCCCAUCUUGGAGCUUGGGAAGGGGUGGACUGCAGAAGCAACUAGCUUCCUAUAUUGGACUCCCGGCCCUGAUGAAUAAAAUGAGUAGGGAAUGAGCUUCAUAAAAGGGAAUUUUAAUGCCAGAAAAGGAAGGUAGGAAGGUAAGACUGAUCUUGCAAAGAUGAUAGGAAAGAAAGAUGGCAUGGCAAUAUAUUUUUAAAGAAAACAAUUUAAUCGAUCAAUCAAAAUUGAAUGUUGGAAAGUUUCGAAGAUGAUCUAAAUUGACAGAGUACUACGUUUUUUUAUUCUGAUAAAGAUACACUGGUAGAUGUUUGCUUUCAGCAUUUUGGUAUGUGAGAAGGUACCAGGUUUCUAGCAGGCCGGAAAUCCGAGCUAUUAUUGUAGUCGUCAAAUCUUGGUCUUUGAGGAUUCUGGUAACUCUACUUCUCAUCUUUUUCGGGUGUCAUUCAAACCUGUAUAUACUCAACUUGUGAUGUUUCCUACUUAUACAUGAGUGCCUAACUGCUAUUUAUUCUCAUUCAUGCCUGAUAUGUUGAUUUUAUAGAGGACUUACAUGUUUUUUUGUAAUUGACAUGUUAUGAUUAAGAGUAAAUUUCCGAGAGGUUGUCUGCCAUGGCUCUCUAAUAUGUGCUUCUCCCUAGUUUUUCAUGAUUUCAUACACAUCACCAAUUGAUAAACAAUGGAUAUUAGCUUCUUAAAUAUCCAAAAAUUGCCCUAGUACUAUGCUACUCUGUACUGAGGACGAAAUGCUUCCAUGAACAGAGUUUCACCACUUGCUAUUUGUGUAUGCAUGCAAGAUUUUCUCUCUAUUGAUUGUCACUACUUUCACCACUUUUUUAUGGGUUAUUAGUGUAGGCUUCAUUUCUCUCUCGGGUUGAUCUGAAAACUUGUUGCUUACUAACUUCUGGAGAACUAGGUUUCUCGUGCUUCAAUAAAGUGACAAUAGUGUUCUUUGGUGCCCGAUUUCUUGAGCUAAGGAGAGAGAACUAUUCCGGUUUUGAAAAAUUAAUUGAAAAAGCCAUAGGGCCGAUCGAAUGGAUGAGAGCUUUAUGAGUUGCAAUCUUGUUGAUAUUGGUGCAUAAAAAUGAUUUAGGCAAUAGGACAAAAAGCCUCAUAUCCAAAUUAUCACAUGCCUAACCCUACAUAAACCCCUAGUGAGCCAUUUUGAGCCCCAAAAACCUAAUUUCUUUGUUUAAAAAUUUUGAAGUCACUAUAUUAGCCAUACUUAUUAUAUCCAUUUGUCGGCCUAUAUUUUCUACCAUAGUCACUAAAAUUAAAAUGCUAGCACAUUCUUGGGAGGGUUUUAAUGGUGGCAAGGAAAAGAUGGAAGUCCUGUAACAUUCUUGGGAGGGUACUUAUAGUGGCAAGAAAAAGAUGGAAGUCCUGGAACAUUCAUCAGGUGGUAUUCAUUUAUACUGAGAUACAAAGUGAAAAAGCUUCGUCUUCAAACAAAAAUAAAAUAAAAAGGCAGCCUUUAAAGUGUAAAAAAAAUCCAAGGCUAGAAAAAAAAGACAGCCUUUCAUGUGUAAGAAAAAGCCAAGGCCAGAAAAGUAAAAGGCAACCUUUCAUGUGUAAAAAAAAGCCAAGGCUAGAAAAGUAAAAGGCAGCCUUUCAUGUGUUAAAAAAAGCCAAGGCUAGUAAAAAAUAAAAAUAAAAGGCAGCCUUUCAUGUGUAAAAAAAAGCCAAAGGCUAGAAAAAAAGUGAAAAAUAGAAAUCUGCUCAAAAGAAUAUGAUGACUUUGUUUAGAUGGUAGAAAAAUUCGAGUUUUAGGUGUUGAGAUGUCAGAAUUUCGCACGCAUUGAGUGAGAUGUGAAGGAUGUUGUGAAGGAUGCUAUGAUGGAUGUGCUAGUAUUUUAAGAAGGUGAUAAGCUACUUAACCAAAUAUGAUCACACCUUUACCAAAAGCCCCAUUACAUCCAAAUGAAUAAGACCUUUUGAUUUAUGCAUCAUACUGACUUGUGAGCGAUGAAUUUUGCUUGAGUUUGGGAGAAAGAUCUUAUGUGCUUAAAAGAAAGAAUAGCCGGAAGAUAUUCUCUUUAUGAAUUAGUGACGAUGGUUUGAGACUCCCAAGACAUAAAUCGAACUUACAUUGAAGUAUUGGGAUGCCUAGCUCUUAGGGAAUUAGUUCGUGUACAAUUCUUGUUCUAAAGUCUUACCCGCGAGUGAAUUCGGGGUCAACCUAAUUUCUCUAAAUGAUUUGUGUGAUUUGACGUGACUUGAAGUAGAGGAUUAUCUAAUGUCUUGUGAAUGUGCUUAUUUGUCUAACUUGACUUGAAGUAGAGCAAGACUUAUGUUUUGGCGUAUUUGAUGUGUGUGGGUAAUUGUUUAACUUGUUAUUAUACAAUGGAUGGAAUGGAGGGUAGCGUACUAUUGCUCCAGUUCAAUUUUGACCAUCUCACUAUUUAUUCCAGUGAGUUGAAGGGUAUAAAGCUGCAACCAAUAUUUGCUUCAAUAGUCAAACAUUUAUUUUUAUAAACCUAAAUCUUUCUGAUGCUCUACACUUGUCGGUACCUGAUAAAAUUGGGGUUGUACUUGCUUUGUCUAUUUCUGAAGAACACGAUAUAUUCACUAUGCCUGGAUGUGUGGUUAGUUAUUCUCUUCUUUGUACAUACAUUUAGAUAUAAUUUUUUGUUUAGUUGUAGGAAGUGGAAUACAUACAACAGCUUAUAAUUUUUACCUCCUUGGAAUUCUUCUACAUGUUGCACUAAACCUGUAACCCUUUUCUUGGUUGUAUGCAGGAAAGACUUUGUGUUUGAGUCAGAUCACAGAGCAAUCAUGCUGCGUUUGAGGCUAUUGAGAUAAUUCAGCAUAUUCUUGUAUUACUCGUAGUCGAUUUGAAGGCCUCUCUAAGCAUUUAGAUUCAUUCUUGCAAAUGUUAUCUCUUGUGCAACUAAGGUGUUUUCCGUGAAAGUUCCUAUGCAUAAAUAGACUAGAAAGUACUUAGUCGAUCUAAAGGUCGAGGGUGGUAGGGGGCGACUGAGUUCUUAACAUAAAAGAAACGGGUGGAAAGGAUGGAAAACUGAAGGCACAAGUCUAUUUAUUGAUUUUUGAGCUUGCUUUGCUUGAUCUUUUGCUUCUUGGUUGUUGCACCUAUAUUUUUCUGCUUAUUUAAUUGAUUCUUUGCUGCAUUUUUGCAGAUUUAUAAUUAAUCUGUUAAAUAUAUUAUAGUUUUGUAAGUUAUACUGAGGCUGACGUUUUUCUUCUUUUUCUAAUCCACUGUUUGCUGUCUUGCUGCUCUAUAAAUAAUACAUGCAUAGUAUCCUAUUUUUCUUUAUCUCAUAUGCCUGCACAAAUAUGUGUUAUAUUAGUGUUUCUUUGAUAUAUAAACCCCCAUUGAUUGUCAAAUCUUGGCAUCUUAAUAUAUGUUUUUACAGGCUCUUUCCCAAGUACUUACUAGACACAUUUCCUUUUUACUUUGGCAUUAGGUUUGCUGAACUUGCAUCUAAAAAGAAAUCAUGGGCCUUGGAAGCUGGUUGAGCUCUCAAUUGAGUCUAUAACAAAUGUAUAUAGUAUUUUACCGUACAUGCAAUAUCUACACUUUGAGAAGAUUUUGCCUUUUAUACAUAUGCAGUUUUCAAUUUCUCAUUUGUUUUGCCUACUGUUAACAUGGGCAUUUGUUUUGUAUAGUUUCUUGCAUUGCUGAAAAAAUGUUUGGUAUAGAUUCAAGAGAGUUAAAUGCUCCCACCGAGGCAAGUUACCCGAAGGGCCAACUGGAACGUAAUACAAAGCGCUUGGCAGAUGUCGUCUCAGAUGCUUCAAAUUUUCGGAUCGGUCAUUAAGCAUCAACGUGUGACUCACCUUACCUUACGCUGGGUAUUGCUUUACGAGCUGAUUUAGAUGCUUUGAGGAAGCUUGCAUAUUGGGAAGCUUGUCCCUUCCUCGGUUAUCAGUUAAUGUUAUUAUUGUGAGUUUUAGCUACCUCGGUUAUCAGUUAAUGUUAUUAUAUUAUGAGUUUUAGCUACCUCGGUUAUCAGUUAAUGUUAUUAUUGUGAGUUUUAGUCUUACUUCGGAUUUAUGACAUUAUGAUGUUUUCCUUUGGGGGUAAGGCAUUGGAGCAGUUUGUGGACCGUCUCAUUGAGUAUUACUGCUCCAGUUUAGUUUUGACCACCUCAAUAUAUUCAAACAUUUAUUUAUUAAACCUAACCUUAGUUCGAUAUUAAGUGUGUCAUUCAUACUAAAGCUGAAGAACUACUGCACAAUCUUUCUGAUGCUUUACACUUGUCGAUACCCAAUAAAAUUGGAGUUGGUCUUGCUUUGUCUCAUUCUGAAGAACACGAUAUCUUCACGAUACCAGGAUGUGUGUUUGCUGUACUUGCAUCUAAAAAAGAAAUCAUGGGCCUUGGAAGCUGGUGGAGCAAUCAAUGAGUGUCAGUAAAGAUACUUUCUAUAAGGAUCAGUCAUUAAGCAUCAAUGUGUGACUCACCUUACGUGGGGUAUUGCUUUACGAGCUGUUUUAGAUGCUUUGAGGAAGCCUGCAGAUUCAGAAGUUUGUUCCUUCCUAGUUUAUCAGUUAAUGUUAUUAUUGUGAAUUUCAGUCUUACCUUGAAUUUAUGACAUUCUGAUGUUUUCCUUUGGGAGUAUGGCAUUGGAGCAGUUUGUGGACCAUCUCAUUGAGUGGCCACAGUAUGCCAUCAUAUCCUGCACUGAGUAGCAUUUAUAGAUGGGGCACUCAACAGUAUUUCCGCGGCUUAUACUGAACCUGAUGUUGGCCAUACUGCCAAUACUGGUUGUGGAUAAUACUUCUACUCCAAGUGAUUUGUGUGAACUCAUGAUCACUGCAAAUUUGUCCUUCUGGUUUCAGAUUGCAGGCCCACCAUUUUCUCUGAUCGGACCCAACAGCAAUUAUCUGGAUUAUCAAUUCCCUCUUCGAUCCCACUGCAACAUAGACCACCAAGUUCUCUGAGUUCACUCCUAAUUACAUGAAGCCAUCAUAACACACCUACCCUUCCUAAGGUAGGUAAUAGUGUCUUUGUCUACUAAUCUACUCAAAAACCUACAAUGCAGUCACUCAGUGCUGCUUUGCUGUCAAUACAAUCUGCCUCGUCGGAUUUCCGUGGGCUUCUAGAUCAACCUCAGCAAGCAAGUAAAUAAUCAGGUUUAACUGUGCUACUCUCUCUCACUGUGCGCUUUAUGGAUUACAUUAACAUGGGGACUGGUUUUACAACUAUGAGAAGAGAAACUCCCAUAGAGGUGAUUGGAUGUAGCUAUCUUAUCAUUUUUAAUUCUCUGUUUACACUUUGUCUUGAUCCUUAUGGUUUUCCCAUGCUUUUACUUUGAGGAUUUUCUUCCUUGUUAUGAGUUAGCAAUUAAAAGUUCUAUUAAUAGCACAUUUAACUUUAUCCCACUGGUUAACUAAAAUCUCACACUUCUAAAUUCUUUCUUAACUCCCGACUACUUUCUCGUUUUCCUUUUCCCCUUUAGUUUCCUUAUUAUUUGUUUUCUUCCCUGUGCAAUGGAGCCGUUCUGAUUCUGGUUCAGGCCAUCAUGAACUUAAAGUUAUCGUGCUCAGACAAUAUUUCCUCAUACAUGGCUGUUAUCUCCUGCCUAAAAUCUAAAGCUUUAUCUAUUUGUGAUUUUUUCUGUUGCAGCUUAUGCAACUCUGUGAAGCUGAAAGUGUAUCAUACCCGGAUGACGUGGCCAGCAACACAGCAACUCAGGAUAUGGCAAAGUCAGCUGGACUCGAGGUUCUUGCAUUGCUGAAAAAAGCUUGGUAUAGAUUCAAGACAGUUAAAUGCUCCCUCCGAGGCAAGUUACCGAACGGGCAAUGGAGCUUAAGACAAAGCUCUUGGCAGAUGCCGUCUCAAAUGAUUCAAAUUAUCAGUCAUUCAUCAUGAAUUGUGUUUAUUCUGUUUGUAUUUUGUGUAUGUAUUUUGUGUAUUGUGUAGUGUUUUUUUGUAUGCAUGUGUAGAGUGUGUUUGUGUAGCGUAGGUAUUUUUGUGUAUAGUGUAUGUAGUGCAGUGUGUUUUGUUGUGUGCGGACACUACGUCUAUUUUGUGUACAGUGUGUGAAUUUUA